This 433-nucleotide ribosomal RNA is filed under the name uncultured bacterium. RNAcentral describes it as "partial 16S ribosomal RNA". It matches the Rfam family "Bacterial small subunit ribosomal RNA", at positions 29 to 507 of the family's 1533-position model. The record is from RNAcentral.
AACGAACGCUGGCGGCAUGCCUAACACAUGCAAGUCGAACGAGACCUUCGGGUCUAGUGGCGCACGGGUGCGUAACGCGUGGGAACCUGCCCUUAGGUUCGGAAUAACUCCCCGAAAGGGGUGCUAAUACCGGAUAAUGUCUUCGGACCAAAGAUUUAUCGCCUUUGGAUGGGCCCGCGUUGGAUUAGCUAGUUGGUAGGGUAAAAGCCUACCAAGGCGACGUUCCAUAGCUGGUCUGAGAGGAUGAUCUGCCACACUGGGACUGAGACACGGCCCAGACUCCGACGGGAGGCAGCGGUGGGGAAUAUUGGACGAGGGGGGAAAGCCUGAUACAGCAACGCCGGGGAAGUGAUGAAGGGCUUAGGGUUGUAAAGCUCUUUUACCCGGGAUGAUAAUGACAGUACCGGGAGAAUAAGCUCCGGCUAACUCCGUG